UCAAAUUGAUACCGUAACUUCGGGAGAAGGUAUGCCUCCUGGUGUGAGGGGAUUUACUCCCUGAGCAUCGAGAGGUCACAGGUAAUCGAGGGCUGCGACUGUUUAUCAAAAACACAGGACUCUGCGAACACGAAAGUGGAUGUAUAGGGUCUGACGCCUGCCCGGUGCCGGAAGGUUAAUUGAUGGGGUCAGCCGCAAGGCGAAGCUCCUGAUCGAAGCCCCGGUAAACGGCGGCCGUAACAAUAACGGUCCUAAGGUAGCGAAAUUCCUUGUCGGGUAAGUUCCGACCUGCACGAAUGGCGUAACGCUGGCCCUACUGUCUCGACCCGAGACUCAGUGAAGUUGAAAUCGCUGUGAAGAUGCGGCGUAGCUGCGGAAAGACGGAAAGACCCCGUGAACCUUUACUACAGCUUUACACUGAACUUUGACCUUGUCUGUGUAGGAUAGGUGGGAGCCUUUGAAGCAGGAGCGCUAGCUCUUGUGGAGGCAACGUUGAAAUACCACCCUGAUAAUGUCGAAGUUCUAACCUAGGCCCGUAAUCCGGGUUGGGAACACUGUAUGGUGGGUAGUUUGACUGGGGCGGUCUCCUCCCAAAGAGUAACGGAGGAGUGCAAAGAUACCCUCAGCGCGGUCGGUCAUCGCGCAAUGAGUGCAAUGGCAUAAGGGUGUUUGACUGCGAGACUGACAAGUCGAGCAGGUGCGAAAGCAGGUCACAGUGAUCCGGUGGUUCUGUAUGGAAGGGCCAUCGCUCAACGGAUAAAAGGUACUCCGGGGAUAACAGGCUUAUUCCUCCCAAGAGUCCACAUCGACGGAGGAGUUUGGCACCUCGAUGUCGGCUCAUCACAUCCUGGGGCUGUAGCAGGUCCCAAGGGUUCGGCUGUUCGCCGAUUAAAGUGGUACGCGAGCUGGGUUCAAAACGUCGUGAGACAGUUUGGUCCCUAUCUUCCGUAGCCGUUGGAGAUUUGAGGGUGAGCUGUCCUUAGUACGAGAGGACCGGGAUGGACGCACCUCUGGUGUUCCGGUUGUCACGCCAGUGGCACUGCCGGGUAGCUAUGUGCGGACGGGAUAACCGCUGAAAGCAUCUAAGCGGGAAGCCCCCCCCAAGAUUAGAUCUCCCUGGGAACUCGAUUCCCCUGAAGGGCCCAAGUAGACGACUUGGUUGAUAGGCUGGGUGUGUAAGGUCAGUAAUGACUUCAGCUAACCAGUACUAAUUGCCCGUGAGGCUUGACU
RNAcentral lists this ribosomal RNA (1230 nucleotides) under metagenome. RNAcentral describes it as "bacterial LSU rRNA". It matches the Rfam family "Bacterial large subunit ribosomal RNA", at positions 1717 to 2925 of the family's 2925-position model. The record is from RNAcentral.